This 3132-nucleotide unclassified non-coding RNA is filed under the name Hevea brasiliensis (rubber tree). Lineage: Eukaryota; Viridiplantae; Streptophyta; Magnoliopsida; Malpighiales; Euphorbiaceae. The record is from RNAcentral.
AAAACGUUGAUUUGCAAGAAUGCAUUUGGCAUCUGACCGCCCAGAUUCCACUACACGAACCCAGCAAACCCAAACCACUUCCCAUCUACAAAAGGACGAAAUUUGACACUACCCACCCACUAUUUAUUAUCACCACCGCCGUUCCACUAGUGCUUCCUUAGCUUGCUUUCUUGCUUGAACCAACUUUUCUUCGUUUCCUAAGGGUUCUUACAGUUGCAAUUAUAGAUUAUUUCUGUUAAAUUGUGAUUUAAAAGACUAUUUGGGGAUUUGGUUUUGGAGAAAUGACUUUGCACGGGAGUGUUUCUGCAUUGAAUUUAAAUUGGCACACUGGUAUCUUAGAUGGUAGAAAAUUGCAAUCUUCACUGGGAUAUGGUUAUCCUAACUGUUCUAAGCAAACCAAUGCAUUAGCUUUUAGAGUAAGUGAAUCGAUGGGCCAUGCUUUGAGAAUACCGCUUGGAAAUGCUACUAAGACAAGAAUGAGGACUGCUGGCUGCCCUUUGCAGGUAGUUUGUGUGGACUAUCCUAGACCAGACCUUGAUAAUACGGUGAAUUUCUUGGAAGCUGCAUAUUUAUCAUCGUCCUUUCGUAAUUCUCCACGUCCAGCUAAACCAUUGAAAAUUGUGGUUGCUGGGGCAGGAUUGGCUGGUUUAUCAACUGCAAAAUAUUUGGCAGAUGCUGGCCAUAAGCCUGUACUACUUGAAGCAAGAGAAGUUUUGGGCGGAAAGGUGGCUGCAUGGAAAGAUGAUGAUGGGGACUGGUAUGAGACUGGCCUGCAUAUAUUCUUUGGAGCAUACCCAAAUAUUCAGAACCUGUUUGGAGAACUUGGUAUCAAUGAUAGGUUGCAGUGGAAGGAACAUUCUAUGAUAUUUGCGAUGCCAAAUCAUCCAGGAGAGUUCAGCCGAUUUGAUUUUGCAGAAGUUCUUCCUGCACCAUUAAAUGGGAUGUGGGCAAUUCUAAAAAACAAUGAGAUGCUGACUUGGCCUGAGAAAGUGAAGUUUGCGAUUGGACUCCUGCCAGCAAUGGUUGGUGGACAGGCUUAUGUUGAGGCUCAAGAUGGUUUGACUGUUCAAGAUUGGAUGAGAAAGCAGGGAGUUCCUGAUCGAGUCACUAAAGAGGUGUUUAUUGCCAUGUCAAAGGCGCUUAACUUUAUUAACCCUGAUGAACUUUCAAUGCAGUGUAUAUUGAUAGCAUUGAACCGAUUUCUUCAGGAGAAACAUGGUUCAAAGAUGGCUUUCUUAGAUGGGAAUCCCCCAGAGAGACUUUGCAUGCCAAUUGUUGAUCAUAUUCAGUCUCUGGGUGGUGAAGUCCGGCUAAAUUCACGAAUAAAGAAAAUUGAGCUAAAUAAUGAUGGAACAGUUAAAAGCUUUUUACUAAAUACUGGGGAGAUCAUUGAAGGAGAUGCUUAUGUGUUUGCCACUCCAGUUGACAUCCUGAAGCUUCUUUUGCCUGAUAACUGGAAAGAGAUUCCUUACUUCAAGAAAUUGGAGAAAUUAGUUGGUGUUCCUGUUAUUAAUGUUCACAUAUGGUUCGACAGGAAACUAAAGAAUACAUAUGACCACCUACUUUUCAGCAGAAGUCCCCUUCUUAGUGUUUAUGCAGACAUGUCUGUAACAUGUAAGGAAUAUUAUAAUCCAAAUCAGUCUAUGCUGGAGUUAGUUUUUGCACCUGCAGAAGAAUGGAUCUCAUGCAGUGACUCAGAAAUCAUUGAUGCUACAAUCAGGGAACUGGCAAAACUCUUUCCUGAUGAAAUAUCUGCAGAUCAGAGCAAAGCAAAAAUUGUGAAGUAUCAUGUUGUUAAAACUCCAAGGUCUGUUUACAAGACUCUUCCAAAUUGUGAACCUUGCCGCCCCUUACAAAGAUCUCCUAUAGAGGGCUUCUAUUUAGCUGGCGACUACACAAAGCAAAAAUAUUUGGCUUCAAUGGAGGGAGCUGUCCUAUCUGGGAAGCUUUGUGCACAGGCUAUUGUACAGGUACUUGCUACUUAAACUUGGUUUAGCCAAGGUGAAAAAUCACACAUACACAUGCACACACAGGAAAAAAAAAAUGAAGAAGAAGAAGGCACAUUUUUUAAGCUACCAACAGCAAGCGAAAGCUACUUCGGUAACAUAAUAGGCACUUUCUAACCACAUAAAAAUGGCACAUAAUUUUUGCUGGCAAUAACAUUUUAAGAUAUUAGAGUCAUAAGACAUAACAAUGCAUAUCUGUUGAGUUUAAUGUUGUCAUUUAUUCCUGCAUUCAUUCGCAGGGUCCCAUGCCUCCAACAAACGAGGCUUAUCAUUUAUAGCUAGCUAAUAUAAAAAGCAAUGGCAAUGCCUCACAAUUAAAGGAUAGUCCCUUGCACAAGGAAUUUUCAGGGAUUUGAGUUAGCUUGUUAUUUCUGCAACCAAAGAUGCAAAAUUUAGAAUCUAUUAAAACAAAGUAUGAGAGGAGAAAUCCUGAAACACUUAUCUUGCUGCAAGUAAAACUUGCAACUCGUGUAAAUAGGGACCCAUACCAAGCUACCCAGCAGAAAAGAAGAGAUCAUUAACAAUGAAAAGUAAGAGUGUAAGAUCAAGAACUUGAUGAGAAAGUUCAUGUUAAAAAGAAAGGCAAAGAAGGAAAUAAAUAAAUGCACAGGGCUUUAUAAUCUUAAUUCACAUUUCCUUCAGUCAAUAUGACUGAAUUAAGCUAAAAGUUUCACCAUGAAUCUAUCCAAAGUAACUUAGUAAACCACUUUCAAUAUAAUUAAGAUGCAUAGCUAUUACAUAGGAAUGAAGGAUUACAUGGGUAAGAGAAAGAAUGAAGGAUGGUAACAAAAAUUAACAAUGAUUAGCGUCAUGCUUACAGAGCAUUGUGAAAUGAAAAGCAAGUUUGAAUUACUCAUCCAGUUAAAUUGACAUCAGAUAAGAGAAUUCCGAACUUGACCAUGUAACAUUUACCUCAUUCAAAUGAAUUUUAAGUGCAAGCAUGAGAUGUCGACAAAGUAACAGAUACUGGGUCACCAAACAGAAUCUCAAUGACAUGACAUCCGCAUAAACAUGAUAAAAAAGAAAAAAAAUGCCAGCAUUAUCUGUAAACCAAAACCAAGUUCUCUAAGCAUUCUAUUUGAAUUCCAUGAAUUGCAUUCAACAUUUGAGCAAAAUAACAAAUGCC